RNAcentral lists this ribosomal RNA (492 nucleotides) under uncultured bacterium. Its description in RNAcentral is "SSU rRNA". It matches the Rfam family "Bacterial small subunit ribosomal RNA", at positions 26 to 518 of the family's 1533-position model. The record is from RNAcentral.
AGGACGAACGCUGGCGGCGUGCUUAACACAUGCAAGUGGAGCGACGAACCAGGGCUUGCCCUGGGGCAGAGCCGCGAACGGGUGAGUAACACGUGGGUUACCUGCCUCGAUGACCGGGACAACCCGAGGAAACUCGGGCUAAUACCGGAUGUGCCCGCAAGGGGAAAGGAAGCUUCGGCCUCCGCAUCGAGAUGGGCCCGCGGCCCAUUAGCUUGUUGGUGAGGUAACGGCUCACCAAGGCUUCGAUGGGUAGCUGGUCUGAGAGGACGAUCAGCCACACUGGGACUGAGACACGGCCCAGACUCCUACGGGAGGCAGCAGUGGGGAAUCUUGCGCAAUGCGCGAAAGCGUGACGCAGCAACGCCGCGUGGGGGAAGAAGGCUUUCGGGUUGUAAACCCCUUUCAGUUGGGACGAAGCUUCGCCGGUGAAUAGCCGGCUGGAGUGACGGUACCUUCACAAGAAGCACCGGCUAACUACGUGCCAGCAGCCGC